This is a long non-coding RNA of Triticum dicoccoides, 764 nucleotides long. RefSeq lists it as uncharacterized. Lineage: Eukaryota; Viridiplantae; Streptophyta; Magnoliopsida; Poales; Poaceae. The transcript is spliced from 6 exons. The record is from RefSeq and is a predicted model, not a curated record.
CGGCGGCGCUUCCUCUCCCCCGUCCCAGCCACCCCUCCCCGGCGAGCUUGUGCUCUUCUCUCGGCGUCGCCGGCGUGCUCGCCCUCCACUGGGUCUCUGGUCUGUGGGUGACAUGCGGCGGCCUUGGCCUUGGACCCGGGCACUAUGACAUUGUCAAGCAGUCUUGAAAUCGGCUUCACUGCCUCAGGGUUGAAGAACAUUGCUGAUCUGAUGAGGCAUUCACACAGUGGCACAGAGGAUGUGACGUGAGGAAAAACGACGAAUUACGAUAUCCCUCCCAGUGCGUGAAUAUGAUCAACUCAAGAAGCUUUGAACCUCCUUCUCAUCUGGUGAGAACCAUCCCCCGAUUUCACUAUGCAAAGACAAAAUAUUCAGCAUCAGUUCUGUAUUGCUCUGAACAAAUAUUUGCCAGACUCUGCGAGUUCCUCAGGAAGAUCCUCUCCUGCCGAGCAUUAUUCCGUGCCAUCUCAUCCUCCUAAUGCAUGUGUUAACAAGGGUCCGUAUUCAACCGUUCGUGGAUGAAGUACUCCAGCGCUGCUGAUAUCUUCUCCAUGAAUUCCGUCCCUGGCAUCUUGACAACAGGAUUCUGAAGCUCGUACGUAUCUCGGGGCAUCACCUCUUUCCCCUGAGCUCUGAAUAUCUCCGUCAAGAGGAUCGCUUCAGCCUCCUGUUUUGAAGUACCUCUGUCGCAGCUUGGUCAUCUUGGACAUAGGGGCGACACCAUCUGCGGUUGGAAUUUGUAGGUGGAUGAUGCAUAUCAUGGG